ACUCCUACGGGAGGCAGCAGUGGGGAAUAUUGGACAAUGGGCGCAAGCCUGAUCCAGCCAUGCCGCGUGAGUGAUGAAGGCCCUAGGGUUGUAAAGCUCUUUCACCGGAGAAGAUAAUGACGGUAUCCGGAGAAGAAGCCCCGGCUAACUUCGUGCCAGCAGCCGCGGUAAUACGAAGGGGGCUAGCGUUGUUCGGAAUUACUGGGCGUAAAGCGCACGUAGGCGGAUCGAUCAGUCAGGGGUGAAAUCCCAGGGCUCAACCCUGGAACUGCCUUUGAUACUGUCGAUCUGGAGUAUGGAAGAGGUGAGUGGAAUUCCGAGUGUAGAGGUGAAAUUCGUAGAUAUUCGGAGGAACACCAGUGGCGAAGGCGGCUCACUGGUCCAUUACUGACGCUGAGGUGCGAAAGCGUGGGGAGCAAACAGGAUUAGAAACCCUGGUAGUCCCAUGAU
Molecule: ribosomal RNA, 450 nt
Filed under: uncultured organism
Description: partial 16S ribosomal RNA
Rfam family: Bacterial small subunit ribosomal RNA
Source: RNAcentral